GACGAACGCUGGCGGCGUGCUUAACACAUGCAAGUCGAACGGAAAGGCCCUGCUUUUUUGGGGUGCUCGAGUGGCGAACGGGUGAGUAACACGUGAGUAACCUGCCCUUGACUUUGGGAUAACUUCAGAAAACUGGGGCUAAUACCGGAUAGGAGCUCCUGCUGCAGGGUGGGGGUUGGAAAGUUUCGGCGGUUGGGGAUGGACUCGCGGCUGAUCAGCUUGUUGGUUGGGUAGUGGCUUACCAAGGCUUUGACAGGUAGCCGGCCUGAGAGGGUGACCGGCCACCUUGGGCCUGAGAUACGGCCCAGACUACUACGGUAGGCAACGGUGGGGAAUAUUACACAAUGGGCUGAAGCAUGAUGCAGCAACGCCGCGUGCGGGAUGACGGCCUUCGGGUUGUGAACCGCUUUCGCCUGUGACGAAGCGUGAGUGACGGUAAUGGGUAAAGAAGCACCGGCUAACUACGUG
RNAcentral lists this ribosomal RNA (468 nucleotides) under uncultured bacterium. RNAcentral describes it as "partial 16S ribosomal RNA". It matches the Rfam family "Bacterial small subunit ribosomal RNA", at positions 28 to 507 of the family's 1533-position model. The record is from RNAcentral.